AUCCAGCUGACAAGUCCCAAACAGGACGAAACGCGCGUCCUGGAU
Non-coding RNA from Schistosoma margrebowiei, 45 nucleotides. The record is from Rfam. Lineage: Eukaryota; Metazoa; Platyhelminthes; Trematoda; Strigeidida; Schistosomatidae.